UGAACUCUUUUAAAAUUUAUGUAAUUAUCGAGAGUUGGAUUUUGUUUAAACCUAAGGUAAGCCGCUUUACUAUCAUUGACAGCUGUCGCACACCUGUUAUUCCACCAAGGUACUGCAAUAUGUUUGUGCCUCUUUGAAGUAUUUGCACCGCUAUUUGAUAAGUUCCUACGUGGAACGGAACGUUCCACAGCUGUCAAAAUAAUUUUACAGAACCUAUUGUAAUUGUUUAAGGGUUCAUUGACAUCAUACUCGAAAUCCAAAAGUAAUUGAUUAACAGUUUCAGAAUAAAGAUCCCAAUUAACGAGACGUAGGUUUAAACGAUUUAACAAAAGUUUAUUAACUUCAUCUAUAGGAGCAUGUUGUUCACCUGACGGAGUUGAUGAAGAGUUCUUUGUGUUUAUCUUAGUAAAAGUCGGCAGAUGCUGCAACGCUCAGAAUUCUUACAGAAUUUAGCUAAAUGUCCAUACCUCAAGCACCAGUAGCAUUGUUUAACUGGUGGUAUAUAUGGAGUGACAUUGUGGCGCCAACCUCCAAUAUCCAGAUAUUCAGGUAAUACAGAUGCAGCAAAAGUAAUUGUCACGGUUAGAGUUGGCUGUAACACAUAUCCAUGAGUCAAGGUAUUUUUUCUUAAAAUUCUUUUAAUAGCAAUAAUUUUCUUAGAACUCGAUAUCAUAGUAUAUAUUUUUUUAUUAGAUAUAUUUGUAGGUACAUUUCUAAUAACGCCUGUAACUUCUGUUGAAGAAGCAGGAAUACUGGCCUUAAAAUGGUAGUCAUUUAAAAAAGUUUUAUUAUUUAAAAAAGCAUUGGCUAAGUCUGGCUUUUGAAAGUAUACUCCGAUUUUGAAUUUAUUUAUAGAUCUAAGAUAAGUUACCCCUUUAUUAAAUCAUUUUAAACAGGAGGAGAGUGAGAGCAAGUCUCUGGAUCCAAUGGUUUUCUGACUAUCUGAGGAUUCUACAAAGACAACAAAUUCUGUCCCAGGGGAUUCCUCGGGAUAUCUUCUAAUAUAAUCUGUGACGUAGUAAGGUUUAUACUUAUCGGCCUUAUCAAUUUCAGAUUCUGAGUCAGUAGAAGUAUCUUCCGAAUAUAUAUCCUUGUCAUUACAAGGUUCAUGGUCUACAUCACCUGAAUCGUCAUCUUUUUUUUCCUUUUUCUACAACUGCGCUUCCCCAUGAAUGCUAAUUAUAUUACUGUCGCUGAAUUUAGUGAAAAUAUAAUAUUUUAUUCAAUAAUAAGAAUUGAUAGAGAUAGUUUUAAUAAAUUAAUAAAAAAAAUUUAAAAAA
This is a long non-coding RNA of Galleria mellonella (greater wax moth), 1280 nucleotides long. RefSeq lists it as uncharacterized. NCBI's taxonomy places the organism in Eukaryota, Metazoa, Arthropoda, Insecta, Lepidoptera, Pyralidae. The record is from RefSeq and is a predicted model, not a curated record. The transcript is spliced from 2 exons.